This 500-nucleotide ribosomal RNA is filed under the name uncultured bacterium. RNAcentral describes it as "partial 16S ribosomal RNA". It matches the Rfam family "Bacterial small subunit ribosomal RNA", at positions 30 to 523 of the family's 1533-position model. The record is from RNAcentral.
ACUGAACGCUGGCGGAAUGCUUUACACAUGCAAGUCGAACGGCAGCACGGACUUCGGUCUGGUGGCGAGUGGCGAACGGGUGAGUAAUGUAUCGGAACGCGCCCAGUCGUGGGGGAUAACGUAGUGAAAAUUACGCUAAUACCGCAUACGAUCUAUGGAUGAAAGCGGGGGAUCGCAAGACCGCGCGCGAUUGGAGCGGCCGAUAUCAGAUUAGGUAGUUGGUGGGGUAAAGGCCCACCAAGCCAACGAUCUGUAGCUGGUCUGAGAGGACGACCAGCCACACUGGAACUGAGACACGGUCCAGACUCCUACGGGAGGCAGCAGUGGGGAAUUUUGGACAAUGGGCGAAAGCCUGAUCCAGCCAUUCCGCGUGCAGGAUGAAGGCCCUCGGGUUGUAAACUGCUUUUGUACAGAACGAAAAGGUUUCUACUAAUACUAGGAGCUCAUGACGGUACUGUAAGAAUAAGCACCGGCUAACUACGUGCCAGCAGCCGCGGUAA